RNAcentral lists this ribosomal RNA (290 nucleotides) under uncultured eukaryote. Its description in RNAcentral is "partial 18S ribosomal RNA". It matches the Rfam family "Eukaryotic small subunit ribosomal RNA", at positions 6 to 306 of the family's 1831-position model. The record is from RNAcentral.
GGUUGAUCCUGCCAGUAGUCAUAUGCUCGUCUCAAAGAUUAAGCCAUGCAUGUCUUAGUAUAAGCUGUAUUAUACUGUGAAACUGCGAAUGGCUCAUUACAUCAGUGAUAGUUUCCUUGAUGGUGAUUGUACUACUCGGAUACCCGUAGUAAUUCUAGAGCUAAUACGUGCGUAUAAGGACAAUUUUCGUAAAUUGUUUCGUAUUUAUCAGAUGUUCAACCAACGACCUUUGGUGAUUCAUGAUAACUGUUCGAAUCGUUUCUUUGUGGAGCGAUGUUUCAAUAAAAUUU